UCCCUGGUGGUUCAGUGGCUAAAACUCCACACUUACAAUGCAGGGGGCCCAGGUUCAUCCCUGGUCGAGGAA
This 72-nucleotide transfer RNA is filed under the name Capra hircus (goat). It matches the Rfam family "tRNA". Rfam says of the family: Transfer RNA (tRNA) molecules are approximately 80 nucleotides in length. Their secondary structure includes four short double-helical elements and three loops (D, anti-codon, and T loops). Further hydrogen bonds mediate the characteristic L-shaped molecular structure. tRNAs have two regions of fundamental functional importance: the anti-codon, which is responsible for specific mRNA codon recognition, and the 3' end, to which the tRNAs corresponding amino acid is attached (by aminoacyl-tRNA synthetases). tRNAs cope with the degeneracy of the genetic code in two manners: having more than one tRNA (with a specific anti-codon) for a particular amino acid; and 'wobble' base-pairing, i.e. permitting non-standard base-pairing at the 3rd anti-codon position. The record is from Rfam by way of RNAcentral. Lineage: Eukaryota; Metazoa; Chordata; Mammalia; Artiodactyla; Bovidae. RNAcentral also lists the same sequence under 1 other name.